This 460-nucleotide ribosomal RNA is filed under the name uncultured bacterium. RNAcentral describes it as "partial 16S ribosomal RNA". It matches the Rfam family "Bacterial small subunit ribosomal RNA", at positions 338 to 795 of the family's 1533-position model. The record is from RNAcentral.
ACUACGGGAGGCAGCAGUGAGGAAUAUUGGUCAAUGGGCGGAAGCCUGAACCAGCCAAGUAGCGUGCAGGAUGACGGCCCUACGGGUUGUAAACUGCUUUUAUACGGGAAUAACGCGCCUUACGUGUAGGGCUUUGCAUGUACCGUAUGAAUAAGGACCGGCUAAUUCCGUGCCAGCAGCCGCGGUAAUACGGAAGGUCCGGGCGUUGUACGGAUUUAUUGGGGUUAAAGGGAGCGUAGGCCGCAUGUCAAGCGUGCUGUGAAAUGUCCGGGCUCAACCCGGGCCGUGCAGCGCGAACUGGCGUGCUUGAGUCCGCGGAAAGCAGGCGGAAUUCGUCGUGUAGCGGUGAAAUGCUUAGAUAUGACGAAGAACCCCGAUUGCGAAGGCAGCUUGCUGCAGCGGAACUGACGCUGAUGCUCGAAAGCGCGGGUAUCGAACAGGAUUAGAUACCCUAGUAGUC